GCCGAUAUAGCUCAGUUGGUAGAGCUGCGCAUUCGUAAUGCGAAGGUCGUAGGUUCGACUCCUAUUAUCGGCACCA
RNAcentral lists this transfer RNA (76 nucleotides) under Escherichia coli. RNAcentral's name for it is "tRNA-Thr". It matches the Rfam family "tRNA". Rfam says of the family: Transfer RNA (tRNA) molecules are approximately 80 nucleotides in length. The record is from RNAcentral. Lineage: Bacteria; Pseudomonadati; Pseudomonadota; Gammaproteobacteria; Enterobacterales; Enterobacteriaceae. RNAcentral also lists the same sequence under 3 other names.